UACGUAGGUGGCAAGCGUUGUCCGGAUUUACUGGGCGUAAAGAGCGCGCAGGCGGUCGAAUAAGUCGAAUGUGAAAGCCCCCGGCUCAACUGGGGAGGGUCAUUCGAUACUGCUCGACUUGAAGGCAGGAGAGGGUAGUGGAAUUCCCGGUGUAGUGGUGAAAUGCGUAGAUAUCGGGAGGAACACCAGUGGCGAAGGCGGCUACCUGGCCUGUAACUGACGCUGAGACGCGAAAGCGUGGGGAGCGAACCGG
Molecule: ribosomal RNA, 253 nt
Filed under: uncultured bacterium
Lineage: Bacteria
Description: partial 16S ribosomal RNA
Rfam family: Bacterial small subunit ribosomal RNA
Source: RNAcentral